ACAGGCUGGUUGGCGAUGAUGUCGUAGGACUCCAUGGCCGGGCCGCGCCGGCCCUGCCCAGCAGGCGGGCUGCAGGAGGCACCGGAUGGGCGGGCGGGCGGGAGGACCGGGACGGCGGCGGCUCCCGACGCGGCGCCGCUGCCCUCCCUCCCCGAGCCUGCAGCCUACGCGAGCCCCGCGGGGCUUUCUGGAGGGCGGGCCCGGCGGCCAAUCAUCGCUCCCACCUGGCCCGAUUGACAGCAGGUGCCCGGGGCUGGCUGCGCGAAGGGGGCGGGGCCUCCGGAGGCUGGCCAGCCAAUUGAGGUCGUCCGGAAAAAAGUGGUCGCGGCGUUGCCAAGGCUCCUGUUUUCCUAAUAGCAUGAACAGCCCCCCCGUCAGCUCCUACCCCUUGGUCUCUGACCUGUUCCUCCUCCGAGGUGACCUCUAUCCUGAAUUUUGAAAACAUAUUAGUAUUGCCUGUUUCUGGACUUUGUGCAGAUGAAGUCAUUGGUAUGUAUUCAUUUGCAUCUAGUGUUUAUACAUUCAUAAAAUAGAUCACUGUGUAGCCAUUAAAAAUAAUGAGAGAGUGCUAUAUAAUUUCAUAUGAAACAUAUCAGGACACAUUGCUAAGUAAAAGCAAAGAGAAAGCAGACACCGAGUGUAGACUGUUAUAUGCAUGAAUGUCUCUGAACAGUAUAUGAGGCACCUUCAGGUCUCUUUUUUAUUUUUUUUUUUUUUGAGACAAUCUUUCUCUGUUGCCCAGGCUGGAGUGCAGUGGCGCAAUCUGGGCUCACUGCAACCUCCACCUGUCGGGUUCAGGCAAUUCUCCUGGCUCAGCCUCCCUAGUAGCUGGGAUCACAGGUUCCCGCCACCAUGCCCAGCUAAGUUUUUUUUUUUUUUUUUUUUGAGAUGGAGUCUCACUCUGUCACCCAGGCUGGAGUGCAGUGGUGCGGUCUCGGCUCACUGCAAGCUCCGCCUCCCGGGUUCAUGCCAUUCUCCUGCCUCAGCCUCCCGAGUAGCUGGGACUACAGGCGCCCACCACCACGCCUGGCUAAUUUUUUGUAUUUUUAGUAGAGAUGGGGUUUCACCGUGUUAGCCAGGAUGAUCUCGAUCUCCUGACCUUGUGAUCUGCCUGCCUCGGCCUCCCAAAAUGCUGGGAUUACAGGUGUGAGCCACCGUGCCUGGCCCCAAAGAUGAUUGUCUUAUAAAAGCCUAUGUAACCCUUUUCAUUUUUUCUUUAAAAAAUGUCUUCCUUUACCUCCUGGAACACAUCCAUACUUAUUCCCAUUGUAAUGCCCGUUCCUGAAUAAACAUCAUUGUUUUUUUAGAGAGGGAGAGAGAGUCCAUUGGUGAGAGAGUCUCACCAAUCUCCUGUCCCCAGGGCACUUCCACCCCUGGGUAUUUGUACUGAUCAACCAGGUUACGCUUUCAGCAUUUGCAAACUCAGGAUGGAGAUUUUAGACCCUCUUCAACCUCCAGGUUUCCUCUUUGCAAAGGCCAGCAGCAGAAGCAAAAGAGAUGGAGCCCGGGUUAGCAUUUAUUUUUCUAUUUACCAGUCAUUUGGAAUUUGGACAUUUUCUGUCCUGUGGUUGUGGUGAGGGUGUGGGUUUUGUGUUGUUUUAUAUAUUCUUUGUUAUUUUUUAUUCUAGUUUUUGUUUUUGUUUUGGAAGGUAUUUUAGAGAAAUAAGAUUUCUGUGGUUACCAUGACCUGCUGUUACAGAUUACAUGGUACCCUCUCUUCAUAUGUUGAAGUCCUAGCCACCCCGCCGAACCUCAGAAUGUGACUGUAUUUGGAGAUAGGGUCUUUACAGAGGAAAUCAAGUUAAAAUGAAGUCAUUAGGGCAGGCCCUAAUCCGAUAUGAUCCUGUGUUCUUAGAAGAGGAAAUGUGGACUCAGGUGUGUAUGGAGGGAAGAUGUCUUGCAAGCCCAAGGAGAAGAUGGCCAUCUGAGCCCACGUCCUGGAACAGAGACUUCCCUCACAGCCUCAGAAAGAACCAGCCCUGCUGACGUCUUGAUCUCAGACCUCCAGCCUCCAGAACUGGGAGACGAUUCAGUCAGCAUCUACACAACACAGGGUUGAACUGUGCGGGUCCACUUCUAUGCAGAUUAUUUUCUUUUUUCUUUUUUGAGACAGAGUCUCGCCCGGUUGCUCAGGCUGAAGUGUAGUGGUGUGAUCUUGGCUUACUGCAGCUUCCACCUCCCAGGUGCAAGUGAUUCUCCUGCCUCAGCUUCCCAAGUAGCUGGGACUAUGGGUACUCGCCACCACACCUGGCUAAUUUUUGUAUUUUUAGUAGAGAUGGGGUUUCACCAUGUUGGUCAGGCUGGUCUUGAACUCCUGACCCCAAGUGAUCUGCCUGCCUUGGCCUCCCAGAUUGCUGGGAUUACAGGUGUGAGCCACCGUGCCCGGCCCUAUAUAACUCUUUGUGCAAGUUUUUACCCCUAAAAGAUAUCUGCCAUCUCAGCCAUGGAACAGACACUGUAAGAACAUGAAGGCUCAAGGGCAGGGCUGGCUACAUAAUUUGUGGGACCCAUUACAAAAUGAACAUGGAGAAAAAACUAGAAAAAAGUGUAGUACAAGGUACUAUAAUAGAUUUUUCCUUUGAAAACAGUUUAAUACUUAUAAAAUGUAAUAGAGGGAAAUAGUGACACGUGAGUAACAAAAUGGGCGUAUCAAUUGGUCUAUGCUAUUUUUGGUGUUAUAAUUUUACCUAAUAUAAUAAGCAGCAACACUUUGUUAGUGAGACGGGCUUUCACCAUGUUGGCCAGGCUGGUCUGGAACUCCUGACCUCAGGUGAUCCGCCUGCCUCAGCCUUCCAAAGUGCUGGGAUUACAGGUGUGAGCCUCUGCGCCCGGCUGUGAUGUCUUGAUUGAUCAUAGGAUUUUUCUGGCUAUUCUAGCUACUUCCAAUUCGCUUCAGCCAAUUUAGUUGAAGUUUUAUCACUUGUGACUUCAGAGUCCUGGUUAAUAUCCUGUUGCCCUCAGGACAUGCAGGAUGGAGGAAGGCACCAGGGAGCCGAGGGAAGUGAGCAGAGAGGCAGUCACUUCAGGGCCACCAGCAUAGCCCCCGUCACUGUCCACAGACACAGGCCCUUCCCCUUCUCAUGGUUGAGCAGGCUCCACCUCACUUCCGUGUAUGACUUCAUAGACCGUUAGGUUCCGUGGUACCCUGGAGUCCACAGCUGCUGAAUCUGAAGGGCCAUCAGAAGACUGGCUUCUCCAUGAUGGUUUAUGGACUAAGGCAAAGAUGAGCAGAGCCAUGGCCCUCUUCUUUGUUCUCUGCUGGAUCCAAGGGUCGGGGGUCUCCCUAUGUUUCCCAGGCUGGCCUCGAACUCCUGACCUCAAGUGAUCCUCCCACCUCAGCCUCCCCGAGUGCUGGGAUUAAAGACGUGAGCCACGGCACCUGGCCUGAAUUUUCCUCAAAUUCAAAAAAUCCUGAUGAAGGUUUGGCUAAAAUCUUUGGUGAGUUACCCCACUCCCUGUGGAACCUCAGGCUGGAUUUGAAGAGUUGCGUGCAUGGUCCUCAUUGUCUCCCAGGUAACCUGUUCCCGCUGCUGUGAAGGGAAGGCAGGUGCUCUUCCUUGAGGCUAGAAUCUGUCUACGUGUCACAGUCUCAGGAAAUUAAGCAAAACAGAUGAUAAACACCUCAAAAGGACCCUACUGAGCAUCAGUGGAGCAGAGCAGGGCCAUGUGGGACUGCGGCGUCAGAUGCCACCUCACACUAGCUGUGACACACCUGCCUCGCCAGUUUCUGCUCUGAGGCCCCAAAGCCGAGCUGAACCUCCUCCAGGGGUUCUCAGCCCUAACUGAGCAUGAAAACCCCUGGGGCAAUCCUCUUUUUAACAAUUGAGACAUUCCACACACACCCCACAUCAGAUUUUGGGGUGUGGGGAUAGACCUUCACAUUUGUAGUUUUCUAACCCUCCAGGGGACACUAGGCUGAGACUCAUUGGUCUCCACUCUGAACCUUCCACUGAACAUGUGAGAAAAACUAAGGCCCAGGGAAGUCUUUAGCAGAGAGCUGAGACGGAGAAAAGGGUUCUGAACCACAGCUGUCUGCUGAAGGAAGCUGUCCAAAGGCCAGUGAAGUCUCUCCUG
RNAcentral lists this long non-coding RNA (4074 nucleotides) under Homo sapiens (human). RNAcentral describes it as "HSALNT0304389". Lineage: Eukaryota; Metazoa; Chordata; Mammalia; Primates; Hominidae. The record is from RNAcentral.